Pelobates cultripes (western spadefoot toad) is the source of this 211-nucleotide non-coding RNA. Lineage: Eukaryota; Metazoa; Chordata; Amphibia; Anura; Pelobatidae. The record is from the annotation of a GenBank genome assembly.
AACUGAUCUGAUGAAUCUGGACAAAGUAUGAAGACCACUUCUUACAGUAUAUGAAAACAUGAUCGGCUAGGACUCCAUAGUGUGCAUAUCCCCAUAUAGGAAAAGGCUAUUUACUAUCAGACUCAUAAAGCGCAUCUGCCUCUAUUUCACCAAGAGGAUGACGUUGAAUAUAGAGACACACGAGUGCUAAUAGCAGAAAGGACUCUGUCAG